CUUGCAGAUGCAUAUCAUAUCAAUCAGAACAAGACCCUCACUUCUACUCUCAACUUUAUUUCUGCUCCUACUGAUCCUGCCACCCACGAAGCAGGAAGAUAUGGUUCGUGCUAGUCCUAAACGAAUAUGCCAUCCAGGAGGCUAUAAGGGUUGUUCUCGCACAUGUCCGCCGAAGCAUACUUGUACCACUAUUCCCUGCGUUGUUCCUCGACCUUGCAAUCGUCACUCCACAACGACUUGAGCAGUUUGUCAAGAUUUGCAUUAGGCCCUGUUUGGAAUGAGUGUAUUUUUUGUUGUUGUCCAUUGGUAUUUAGUUCAAAUUCAAGCUAAAUACUAUCCCGCAAAAAAAAAUUCAAGCUAACUACUGGUGGCACACAAAUUUUACACCCAUUCCAAACAACCCCUUACUGGUAAAAUACAUCCUGGUCCGGCUUGUAAUUAUGGAUCAAUUAUUUAAAUCCAGGAAUGUACACAUGCAGCAUCAUAUUUGAUGGGAUUUUUAA
Molecule: long non-coding RNA, 503 nt
Organism: Triticum dicoccoides
Lineage: Eukaryota; Viridiplantae; Streptophyta; Magnoliopsida; Poales; Poaceae
Exons: 2
Source: RefSeq, a predicted model, not a curated record